UUACACUCAAGUGAAAGUAGUCAAGGAUCCAACACCUGCCUUUCCAAGGUAUAUAUACAAACUCACAUCUUUUGAAAACAUUGAAGACAAUGAUCAUAGCAAAACCUAUUUGAUUGGUAGGAAAUGUUUUGGUAAAAAACUAUGCCAUCAUUUUCCUUGCAAAAUUCUGCGCUAUAUUUGACUCAAACAAAUCUGUUUUUUCAAACAAUACAGAUGUCAUUGGCGUCUUGACACAAAUUGAUCCGCUACAUCUAGUUGGUUUCAACAGCUCAAGCCUUACCAGAGACAUCUUCAUAACAAAUACAAGUGGUAUACCUUUAAAAAUGACGCUUUGGGGAGACCAAGCAUCUGAUUUUUUCUGUCGAUAAUGUUUACAAUGAGAACGAGAAGAAACUCCUAAUCAUAUUGUUCAUCGGAUGCCUUCCUAAACGAUCCAAAGGCCAAGUAUAUUUAUGCGGAAAUGUGGUAUGCGCAUGGUACUUCAAUCCAGACAUCCGUGAAAUACAUGUGUUCUACAACAGUUUGUAAAGGUUACCAACAGCUGAGUUCCAGCUACUACGACAUCCUGUCACAAAAGAGGAAAUCCAGGUUUCUCAACCCUCUGAAAUUGAAGACAAGAUUGUGGAAGAGCUACUUGAGAUAGAUCCAGAUAUGUUUCAUCCACAAGGUUACAAGUGCACUAUUACUGUUUCAUGUCUGCUACAAGACAAUAGAUGGUGGUUUCCAUCUUGCACCAAAUGCAAGAGGUCUCCAACUCAGACCUCUACUAGAUACCGAUGCACAACGUGCGACUAGACAAACUAGAUUUAGGUACAAACUCAGAUUAUUGCUACUGAUGGAACUUCUAAAGCAGAAUUCUUUUGUUUUGAUAAUAUAGCCAGAUGAAUAGUAGGAAAGUGCUAUGAAACCCUUGUCAGAAUAGCAGAUGAUUCUCGUGGUCCUCCAGCGGACCUGGCUGCCAUUGUGUCGUUUAAGUUUACCUUUGCAGUUACCAUUAACAUGUCGGCAUUCUCUGUCACCAACAAUCUUUUAUGUUCUCUCUGGACUAACAAAUCAUGGGAGACAUGCAUCACUAACAAUUUUUUUGAAAGCAAAUGGCAGAGCUCGCCUUUCAAUUAAGAGAGAAAAGAGUUACAGAACAAGGAUCACACAUCACACACACCAGGAGCACACCUCCUGCCUAAGAAGAACUGCUCACACAUAACGAUGUAUUUGGUUGUACAAGCAUACAAGACUCUCCAGCAGCAUCUUUUGGCAAACUAUCCAUAUCUACCAAUCAAAAAAUGUGGGUACAAGUCAGCUUAACAAAGACGGUCUGCCAUCGCCACCAAAAGAUCAGAACCAGCCAACUUCGCAUACACCAGCCUGAUUCUACACAACCUGGAGAUCAAAGCCACUAGAUCGUCAUGAAUUGCAAGAUAACUGUUUUGCGCACCUACAAAGGACGUCCAUGCUGCUGAAACGCAUAUACUUUUAUGUACAUAUAACGAAACUGCUACAGCGUCUCCAGCUUUGUAUAUGUUUAUGUGAACCCUAUCAGUGAACUCUAAUUUACGCUUGAUGUAGUCUACUCAAGUGCUACUUUAUGUGUAUUAUUGUCUCAGUUACUCUACAACUAUUGUAAGCCUUGGCGUCUGCUUCA
Molecule: RNA transcript, 1642 nt
Organism: Zea mays
Lineage: Eukaryota; Viridiplantae; Streptophyta; Magnoliopsida; Poales; Poaceae
Gene name: RPA1_DBD_C superfamily protein pseudogene
Exons: 9
Source: RefSeq, a predicted model, not a curated record